This 628-nucleotide unclassified non-coding RNA is filed under the name Hevea brasiliensis (rubber tree). The record is from RNAcentral. Lineage: Eukaryota; Viridiplantae; Streptophyta; Magnoliopsida; Malpighiales; Euphorbiaceae.
ACACUACUCCAUCACAAGUUGCAUAUGACGAUUGAGGUCAUUGAGGUAACUGGUGCAAGUAUAAUCUUGUAUAUCACAACCAUCCAAAAUCACAGCCCUCCCUGCAUUAGUCUUUUGCUUCAAAUCUAUUGGUGCUUCCUUACCCUUCAAUAACUGCACAACCUGAACUUGUGAAACAUUACUUUUAGAUGUGAAUUCUGCUUCUUAUUAAUGAAUUAUCAUUUAAUAGAAGAGAGAACAAACAAAUUUCAUACCCGAUUCAUGUGCGGACGCAUAGAUGGUAGGUGGUUGAUGCACAUUGAAGCUGUUAACAUGGCACGCUUCAUUUCAGCCGGAUCAUAAUCGUUACCUAAUCGCAGAUCAGCUAAUUCUUUAGCAUUGUUUUCCUGUAACAGUGGUUUUGCCUGUGCAGAGAAGCAGCAAAGUUUGUCAGUGUUUUCAUGAACAAAUGGCUAUAAAACCCAGGAGUUAAAUCCAAGAGCUAACAAAUUAACCUGUUUGUGGACAUAAAAUGUAUAAAAACAUGAAGCUUUUACUUGAAGUUUGAAAUCACUUGGAUUUCCAUGAACAAUAAUGGAAGCAAAAGCAGAUCUUACCCACAUCACAAGGCUUUGUCUACUCGAAUCAA